AGGCUGAAACUCGCCUCUUUGAAGUCGGAAUCGCUAGUAAUCGCAGAUCAGCAUGUUGCGGUGAAUACGUUUCCUGGUCUUGUACACACCGCCCGUCAAACCAUGAGAGUCGCCAACACCCGAAGUCCGCUUUGCGGCCUAAGGUGGGGAGAUGAUUGGGGUUAAGUCGUAACAAGGUAUC
Molecule: ribosomal RNA, 181 nt
Filed under: uncultured bacterium
Lineage: Bacteria
Description: partial 16S ribosomal RNA
Rfam family: Bacterial small subunit ribosomal RNA
Source: RNAcentral